Molecule: ribosomal RNA, 477 nt
Filed under: uncultured bacterium
Lineage: Bacteria
Description: bacterial SSU rRNA
Rfam family: Bacterial small subunit ribosomal RNA
Source: RNAcentral
UUCGCAAUGCCCGAAAGGGUGACGAAGCGACGCCGCAUGUGGGAAGAAGGCCUUCGGGUUGUAAACCACUGUCGGGAGUUAAGAAAUGUAAGGAUGUUAAUAGCGUCCUUACUUGACUAAGGCUCCGGAGGAAGCCACGGCUGACUCUGUGCCAGCAGCCGCGGUAAUACAGAGGCGGCAAGCGUUGUUCGGAAUUAUUGGGCGUAAAGAGCACGUAGGCGGCUAUGUAAGUCGGUUGUGAAAGCCUUCCGCUCAACGGGAGAACAGCAGUCGAUACUGCAUAGCUUGAGUGCGGGAGGGGAGAGCGGAACUUCUGGUGGAGCGGUGAGAUGCGUAGAUAUCAGAAGGAACGCCGGCGGCGAAAGCGACUCUCUGGCCCGUAACUGACGCUGAGUGUGCGAAAGCUAGGGGAGCAAACGGGAUUAGAUACCCCGGUAGUCCUAGCCGUAAACGAUGGGCACUAAGUAGAGGGGUUUU